This 497-nucleotide ribosomal RNA is filed under the name uncultured bacterium. Its description in RNAcentral is "partial 16S ribosomal RNA". It matches the Rfam family "Bacterial small subunit ribosomal RNA", at positions 28 to 508 of the family's 1533-position model. The record is from RNAcentral.
GAUGAACGCUGGCGGCGUGCCUAAUACAUGCAAGUCGAGCGAACAGACGAGGAGCUUGCUCCUCUGACGUUAGCGGCGGACGGGUGAGUAACACGUGGAUAACCUACCUAUAAGACUGGGAUAACUUCGGGAAACCGGAGCUAAUACCGGAUAAUAUAUUGAACCGCAUGGUUCAAUAGUGAAAGACGGUUUUGCUGUCACUUAUAGAUGGAUCCGCGCCGCAUUAGCUAGUUGGUAAGGUAACGGCUUACCAAGGCGACGAUGCGUAGCCGACCUGAGAGGGUGAUCGCCGCCACGGAGACGGUCACACGGCCCGGCCUCCUACGGGAGGCACCAGUAGGGAAUCUCCCGCAAGGGGCGAAAGCCGGAAGGAGCACCCCCGGGGGAGUGAGGAAGGUCUUCGGGUGGAAAACCUAUGUUAUGGGGGAAAAACAAAUGGGAAGGAAACUUGGCCGUUCUGGGGGUUGCCUAAGCAGAGGCCCACGGCAAACACCUCC